RNAcentral lists this ribosomal RNA (497 nucleotides) under uncultured bacterium. RNAcentral's name for it is "partial 16S ribosomal RNA". It matches the Rfam family "Bacterial small subunit ribosomal RNA", at positions 28 to 507 of the family's 1533-position model. The record is from RNAcentral.
GAUGAACGCUGGCGGCGUGCCUAAUACAUGCAAGUCGAGCGAACGGACGAGAAGCUUGCUUCUCUGAUGUUAGCGGCGGACGGGUGAGUAACACGUGGAUAACCUACCUAUAAGACUGGGAUAACUUCGGGACACCGGAGCUAAUACCGGAUAAUAUCUUGAACCGCAUGGUUCAAUAGUGAAAGACGGUCUUGCUGUCACUUAUAGAUGCAUCCGCGCUGCAUUAGCUAGUUGGUAAGGUAACGGCUUACCAAGGCAAGUAUGCAUAGCCGACCUGAUAGGGGGAUAGGCCACACUGGAGGUGAGACACGGUCCAGACUCCUACGGGAGGCAGCAGUAGGGAAUCUGCCGCAGUGGGCGAAAGCCUGACGGAGCAGCGCCGCGUGAGUGAUGGAGGUGUUCGGAGCGUAAAACUCUGUUAUUAGGGAAGAACAGCUGUGUAAGUAACUGUGCAGAGCUUGACGGUACCUAGUCAGAAAGCCACGGCUAACUACGUG